AUGCAGCGACGCCGCGUGGGGGAUGACGGUCUUCGGAUUGUAAACCCCUUUCAGUAGGGACGAAGCGCAAGUGACGGUACCUGCAGAAGAAGCACCGGCUAACUACGUGCCAGCAGCCGCGGUAAUACGUAGGGUGCGAGCGUUGUCCGGAAUUACUGGGCGUAAAGAGCUCGUAGGCGGUUUGUCACGUCGUCUGUGAAAUCCCUCGGCUUAACCGGGGGCGUGCAGGCGAUACGGGCAGACUUGAGUACUACAGGGGAGACUGGAAUUCCUGGUGUAGCGGUGAAAUGCGCAGAUAUCAGGAGGAACACCGGUGGCGAAGGCGGGUCUCUGGGUAGUAACUGACGCUGAGGAGCGAAAGCAUGGGUAGCGAACAGGAUUAGAUACCCUGGUAGUCCAUGCCGUAAACGGUGGGCGCUAGGUGUGGGGUCCUUCCACGGACUCCGUGCCGUAGCUAACGCAUUAAGCGCCCCGCCUGG
RNAcentral lists this ribosomal RNA (479 nucleotides) under Dietzia sp. Its description in RNAcentral is "bacterial SSU rRNA". It matches the Rfam family "Bacterial small subunit ribosomal RNA", at positions 386 to 876 of the family's 1533-position model. The record is from RNAcentral. Lineage: Bacteria; Bacillati; Actinomycetota; Actinomycetes; Mycobacteriales; Dietziaceae.